UUAUGAGCCGAUGAGAAACGGCUA
This 24-nucleotide small nuclear RNA is filed under the name Arabidopsis thaliana (thale cress). RNAcentral's name for it is "snRNA_15588". Lineage: Eukaryota; Viridiplantae; Streptophyta; Magnoliopsida; Brassicales; Brassicaceae. The record is from RNAcentral.